Molecule: ribosomal RNA, 109 nt
Filed under: Caerostris extrusa
Lineage: Eukaryota; Metazoa; Arthropoda; Arachnida; Araneae; Araneidae
Source: RNAcentral
ACGGCCAUACCAUGCUGAAUAUAUCGGUUCUCGUACGAUCACCGAAGUCAAGCAUCAUCGGACGCGGUCAGUACUUGGGAGGGGUGACCACCUGGGAACACCGCGUGCC